RNAcentral lists this ribosomal RNA (301 nucleotides) under uncultured bacterium. RNAcentral describes it as "partial 16S ribosomal RNA". It matches the Rfam family "Bacterial small subunit ribosomal RNA", at positions 509 to 807 of the family's 1533-position model. The record is from RNAcentral.
CAGUCGCCGCGGUAAUACGAAGGGGGCUAGCGUUGCUCGGAAUGACUGGGCGUAAAGGGCGCGUAGGCGGAUUGUUUAGUUAGGCGUGAAAUUCCUGGGCUUAACCUGGGGACUGCGCUUAAUACAGGCAGUCUAGAGUGAGGAAGAGGGUUGUGGAAUUCCCAGUGUAGAGGUGAAAUUCGUAGAUAUUGGGAAGAACACCGGUGGCGAAGGCGGCAACCUGGUCCUUGACUGACGCUCAUGCACGAAAGCGUGGGGAGCAAACAGGAUUAGAUACCCCAGUAGUCCCUGUCUCUUAUAC